Molecule: ribosomal RNA, 451 nt
Filed under: uncultured bacterium
Lineage: Bacteria
Description: bacterial SSU rRNA
Rfam family: Bacterial small subunit ribosomal RNA
Source: RNAcentral
GAUGAACGCUGGCGGCGUGCUUAACACAUGCAAGUCGAGCGAAGCGCUUUUGUUGAUUUCUUCGGAUUGAAACAAUUGUGACUGAGCGGCGGACGGGUGAGUAACGCGUGGGGAACCUGGCCCAUACAGGGGGAUAACAGUUAGAAAUGACUGCUAAUACCGCAUAAGCGCACGGAACCGCAUGGUUUUGUGUGAAAAACUCCGGUGGUAUGGGAUGGCCCCGCGUCUGAUUAGGUAGUUGGUGAGGUAACGGCCCACCAAGCCGACGAUCAGUAGCCGACCUGAGAGGGUGACCGGCCACAUUGGGACUGAGACACGGCCCAAACUCCUACGGGAGGCAGCAGUGGGGAAUAUUGCACAAUGGGGGAAACCCUGAUGCAGCGACGCCGCGUGAAGGAAGAAGUAUUUCGGUAUGUAAACUUCUAUCAGCAGGGAAGAAGAUGACGGUACC